ACGAACGCUGGCGGCGUGCCUAAUACAUGCAAGUCGAACGAACCGCGACUAAGUGCUUGCACUAAGUCAAGGUGAGUGGCGAACGGGUGAGUAACACGUGGGUAACCUACCUCAUAGUGGGGGAUAACAGUCGGAAACGACUGCUAAUACCGCAUAGGACAUAGGAUCACAUGAUCCAGUGAGGAAAGGUGGCGCAAGCUAUCGCUAAGAGAUGGACCCGCGGUGCAUUAGCUAGUUGGUAGGGUAAAGGCCUACCAAGGCGAUGAUGCAUAGCCGACCUGAGAGGGUGAUCGGCCACAUUGGGACUGAGACACGGCCCAAACUCCUACGGGAGGCAGCAGUAGGGAAUCUUCCGCAAUGGACGCAAGUCUGACGGAGCAACGCCGCGUGAGUGAAGAAGGUCUUCGGAUCGUAAAGCUCUGUUGUUAGAGAAGAACAGCGCAUAGAGUAACUGCUAUGCGUGUGACGGUAUCUAACCAGAAAGCCACGGCUAACUACGUG
RNAcentral lists this ribosomal RNA (501 nucleotides) under uncultured bacterium. Its description in RNAcentral is "partial 16S ribosomal RNA". It matches the Rfam family "Bacterial small subunit ribosomal RNA", at positions 29 to 507 of the family's 1533-position model. The record is from RNAcentral.